Molecule: ribosomal RNA, 1191 nt
Filed under: Triticum aestivum (bread wheat)
Lineage: Eukaryota; Viridiplantae; Streptophyta; Magnoliopsida; Poales; Poaceae
Description: partial small subunit ribosomal RNA
Source: RNAcentral
AUGCGAAGACCUAAUGAGAAUGAUUCGCAACUUCUUUUGGGGAGUAGAGAAGGGAAAAAGGAAGAUGCACUGGAGAGCAUGGAUCCACCUUAUAAAACCAAAGUCAUAAGGGGGUCGCUGGCCCGCCAAGCGUGGAGGCUUUUGACUAACCAGGAGAGCCUUUGUGCCCGUGUCCUGAAGGUGAGGUACUACCCUAACGGUAAUUUAGAUGACACUGUUUUUUCAGGAGGGGCCUCGGCGACUUGGAAAGGUGUGGAACAUGGACUGCAGCUCCUGAAAACAGGGCUGGUUUGGCGCGUGGGGAACGGCAACUCAAUUAGAAUUUGGCGUGACCGCUGGAUCCCGAGAAAUGGCAGCGGAAGACCGGUGACACCGCAGGGCCGGUGCCGUCUCCGUCGGGUGAGCGAACUGCUGGAUAACCAUGGUGCUUGGCGGAUGGAUGUGGUACGCGAUACCUUCUUCCCGGUGGACGCCGAGGAGAUAGUUAAGAUUCGGACAUCACCUCGGAUGGGCGACGAUCUCCUCGCGUGGGGUCCUGAGCGUAACGGACACUUCUCGGUGCGGAGUGCUUAUCGACUUGCUUUGGAAGAUCAUCUUCGAUCUUCAUCAGUCGCAGCGAGCAGGGCACCGGACGGGCGACGAGCCGUCUGGGCUUUUAUUUGGAGGUGCCCUGCUCCUCCUAAGGUUCGCACUUUUACUUGGCGCUUGAUCACGGACUGCUUGCCCACUUGGGUUAAUAAAAAACGGCGAGGAUUGGAAGUUUCUGACCAAUGCCCUCUCUGUGCGAUGGAGCCGGAGGACACAUUUCAUGCCUUUUGCAGAUGUCCCAGGGCGGUGGCCCUUUGGCAAGCGAUGGCAGAGCAAUGGCGAAUUCCUGCUGCUACGACAUUCCAUCGGACGGGCACGGAGUGGCUCGCCCAAACUCUUUGUGACCUGCCUGACACGGAGAGGAUGGAACUCAUGAUGACCCUUUGGCGCUGCUGGUACGUGCGCAAUGAAAUGACACAUCAUAAGCAGCCUCCUUCGGUUGAAGCGUCCAAGAGGUUCCUUCUCAGCUAUGUUGAUUCACUCGUGGGCACCCAAAACAACCCGAGUGCAAACCCGGCGAAAGGCAAACAAGUGGUUGAUGUGGUGACGCCCAGCAAGCCUGUACCACAUGCUCGGGUUGCGGACGAGGCGCGAUCACGAUGA